UGUUUUCAUUAAUCAAGAACGAAAGUUAGGGGAUCGAAGACGAUCAGAUACCGUCGUAGUCUUAACCAUAAACGAUGCCGACCAGCGAUUAGGAGACGUUGAAUACAAAACACCACCAUCGGCGCGGCCGCCCUUGGCGUCUGUGCUCCUUUCACCGGUGGCGCGCGGCGACGGUUUUUUCCCCCGGUGCCGCCGGUGGACGCCCCCCUAGCAUCUUGUAAGAA
RNAcentral lists this ribosomal RNA (224 nucleotides) under Acanthamoeba castellanii. RNAcentral's name for it is "partial 18S ribosomal RNA". The stretch from base 1 to 149 matches the Rfam family "Eukaryotic small subunit ribosomal RNA", at positions 965 to 1115 of the family's 1831-position model. The record is from RNAcentral. Lineage: Eukaryota; Discosea; Longamoebia; Acanthamoebidae.